Molecule: ribosomal RNA, 508 nt
Filed under: uncultured bacterium
Lineage: Bacteria
Description: partial 16S ribosomal RNA
Rfam family: Bacterial small subunit ribosomal RNA
Source: RNAcentral
AUUGAACGCUGGCGGCAGGCCUAACACAUGCAAGUCGAGCGGCAGCGGGAAAGUAGCUUGCUACUUUUGCCGGCGAGCGGCGGACGGGUGAGUAAUGCCUGGGGAUCUGCCCAGUCGAGGGGGAUAACUACUGGAAACGGUAGCUAAUACCGCAUACGCCCUACGGGGGAAAGCAGGGGACCUUCGGGCCUUGCGCGAUUGGAUGAACCCAGGUGGGAUUAGCUAGUUGGGGAGGUAACGGCUCACCAAGGCGACGAUCCCUAGUUGGUCUGAGAGGAUGAUCAGCCACACUGGAACUGAGACACGGUCCAGACUCCUACGGGAGGCAGCAGUGGGGAAUAUUGCACAAUGGGGGAAACCCUGAUGCAGCCAUGCCGCGUGUGUGAAGAAGGCCUUCGGGUUGUAAAGCACUUUCAGCGAGGAGGAAAGGUCAGUAGCUAAUAUCUGCUGGCUGUGACGUUACUCGCAGAAGAAGCACCGGCUAACUCCGUGCCAGCCGCCGCGGUAA